Molecule: ribosomal RNA, 819 nt
Filed under: Muriphaeosphaeria galatellae
Lineage: Eukaryota; Fungi; Ascomycota; Dothideomycetes; Pleosporales; Phaeosphaeriaceae
Description: SSU rRNA
Rfam family: Eukaryotic small subunit ribosomal RNA
Source: RNAcentral
CCGGCGACGGUUCAUUCAAAUUUCUGCCCUAUCAACUUUCGAUGGUAAGGUAUUGGCUUACCAUGGUUUCAACGGGUAACGGGGAAUUAGGGUUCGAUUCCGGAGAGCGAGCCUGAGAAACGGCUAGCACAUCCAAGGAAGGCAGCAGGCGCGCAAAUUACCCAAUCCCGACACGGGGAGGUAGUGACAAUAAAUACUGAUACAGGGCUCUUUUGGGUCUUGUAAUUGGAAUGAGUACAAUUUAAACCUCUUAACGAGGAACAAUUGGAGGGCAAGUCUGGUGCCAGCAGCCGCGGUAAUUCCAGCUCCAAUAGCGUAUAUUAAAGUUGUUGCAGUUAAAAAGCUCGUAGUUGAAACUUGGGUCUGGCUGGCAGGUCCGCCUCACCGCGUGUACUUGUCCGGCCGGGCCUUCCUUCUGGAGAACCUCAUGCCCUUCACUGGGCGUGUUGGGGACCAGGACUUUUACUUUGAAAAAAUUAGAGUGUUCAAAGCAGGCCUUUGCUCGAAUACGUUAGCAUGGAAUAAUAAAAUAGGACGUGCGGUCCUAUUUUGUUGGUUUCUAGGACCGCCGUAAUGAUUAAUAGGGACAGUCGGGGGCAUCAGUAUUCAAUUGUCAGAGGUGAAAUUCUUGGAUUUAUUGAAGACUAACUACUGCGAAAGCAUUUGCCAAGGAUGUUUUCAUUAAUCAGUGAACGAAAGUUAGGGGAUCGAAGACGAUCAGAUACCGUCGUAGUCUUAACCGUAAACUAUGCCGACUAGGGAUCGGGCGAUGUUCUUUUUCUGACUCGCUCGGCACCUUACGAGAAAUCAAAGUUUUUG